RNAcentral lists this ribosomal RNA (301 nucleotides) under uncultured bacterium. Its description in RNAcentral is "partial 16S ribosomal RNA". It matches the Rfam family "Bacterial small subunit ribosomal RNA", at positions 509 to 807 of the family's 1533-position model. The record is from RNAcentral.
CAGCCGCCGCGGUAAUACGAAGGGUGCAAGCGUUAAUCGGAAUUACUGGGCGUAAAGCGUGCGUAGGCGGUUUGUUAAGUCUGCUGUGAAAUCCCCGGGCUCAACCUGGGAAUGGCAGUGGAUACUGGCAAGCUAGAGUGUGUCAGAGGAUGGUGGGAUUCCCGGUGUAGCGGCGAAAUGCGUAGAGAUCGGGAGGAACAUCAGUGGCGAAGGCGGCCAUCUGGGACAACACUGACGCUGAGGCACGAAAGCGUGGGGAGCAAACAGGAUUAGAUACCCCCGUAGUCCCUGUCUCUUAUAC